Molecule: ribosomal RNA, 403 nt
Filed under: uncultured bacterium
Lineage: Bacteria
Description: partial 16S ribosomal RNA
Rfam family: Bacterial small subunit ribosomal RNA
Source: RNAcentral
AUUGAACGCUGGCGGCAGGCCUAACACAUGCAAGUCGAGCGAGCGGCGGAAGGGUGAGUAAUGUAUGGGGACUGCCCGAUAGAGGGGGAUAACUACUGGAAACGGUGGCUAAUACCGCAUACUAUCGGAUAACCCAUAUGGGAUUAGCUAGUAGGUGGGGUAAAGGCUCACCGAGGCGACGAUCUCUAGCUGGUCUGAGAGGAUGAUCAGCCACCCUUGCACUUAGACACGGCCCAGACUCGUACGGAGGCAUCGUUGGGGAAUAUUGCACAAUGGGCGCAAGCCUGAUGCAGCCAUGCCGCGUGGAUGAAGAAGGCCUUAGGGUUGUAAAGUACUUUCAGCGGGGCGGCGUUACCCGCAGAAGAAGCACCGGCUCACUCCGUGCCAGCAGCCGCGGUAAUAC